RNAcentral lists this ribosomal RNA (254 nucleotides) under uncultured bacterium. RNAcentral's name for it is "partial 16S ribosomal RNA". It matches the Rfam family "Bacterial small subunit ribosomal RNA", at positions 524 to 776 of the family's 1533-position model. The record is from RNAcentral.
UACAGAGGUCCCGAGCGUUGUUCGGAUUCACUGGGCGUAAAGGGUGCGCAGGUGGUUUGGCAAGUUUGAUGUGAAAGCCCCGGGCUUAACCCGGGAAUGGCAUUGAAUACUGUUUGAACUGGAGGAUUGGAGGGGGGACUGGAAUUCUUGGUGUAGCAGUGAAAUGCGUAGAUAUCAAGAGGAACACCGGUGGCGAAGGCGGGUCUCUGGGCCGAUACUGACGCUGAGGAGCGAAAGCGUGGGGAGCGAACAGG